RNAcentral lists this long non-coding RNA (250 nucleotides) under Carica papaya (papaya). Its description in RNAcentral is "long non-coding RNA (CPAP_LNC003824)". Lineage: Eukaryota; Viridiplantae; Streptophyta; Magnoliopsida; Brassicales; Caricaceae. The record is from RNAcentral.
CUCUCUCGGAUUCUAUGACUCAUACCAGCCAUCUCAGCAAUGCCUCCAGCAUUAUCACUGAUUGGACCAUAUGCAUCAAUGGCUAAUCCAGUAGCUAUGGUGCUAAGCAUUCCAAGUGCAGCAACCGCAAUACCAUACAUAGCAGCAAAGGUGAAACUGACAAAGAUACUGAUUGCAAUGGCAAAGAUAGGAAUAAUGACAGACUUGUAACCCAAUGCAAGACCAAAUAUGACGUUUGUAGCAGCUCCAG